GACGAACGCUGGCGGCGUGCUUAACACAUGCAAGUCGAACGGAAAGGCCCCCUUGUGGGGUACUCGAGUGGCGAACGGGUGAGUAACACGUGAGUAACCUACCCUUGCCUUUGGGAUAACUUCAGGAAACUGGGGCUAAUACCGGAUAGGAGCUCCUGCUGCAUGGUGGGGGUUGGAAAGUUUCGGCGGUUGGGGAUGGACUCGCGGCUUAUCAGCUUGUUGGUGGGGUAGUGGCUCACCAAGGCUUUGACGGGUAGCCGGCCUGAGAGGGUGACCGGCCACAUUGGGACUGAGAUACGGCCCAGACUCCUACGGGAGGCAGCAGUGGGGAAUAUUGCACAAUGGGCGGAAGCCUGAUGCAGCAACGCCGCGUGCGGGAUGACGGCCUUCGGGUUGUAAACCGCUUUCGCCUGUGACGAAGCGUGAGUGACGGUAAUGGGUAAAGAAGCACCGGCUAACUACGUG
RNAcentral lists this ribosomal RNA (465 nucleotides) under uncultured bacterium. Its description in RNAcentral is "partial 16S ribosomal RNA". It matches the Rfam family "Bacterial small subunit ribosomal RNA", at positions 28 to 507 of the family's 1533-position model. The record is from RNAcentral.